GACACUAGAGCGAGAGUGCAGAUGCUUGAUAGAGAUCAAAAAUACUGAGUGUGACCAAUAAAAAAAAUCACGAGGAUGGCUACCCACUAAUCGGUGACUUGCUCAAAAUUGUAGUGGUGUAGAUAGUUCUUUGACCUGCAGUACCUCGGCUAUUCACAGUAGAGUUACUGUAGUUUGACUACACCAACACUUGAUUAUCUAGUUAUUCAAAAUCUUGAGGUAUAUGUUGGCUACAGUAGAUCCAUUAUAGGAAUAGGAUGUGCACCAAGAUGAAAUUUGUCGACCUUGGUAGAUAGGGAGAGGUUCUAUACAGUUCAUGAAAUCGAGUCCGAAAAUUCAUAGUCAUGGUAGGUGAAUGAUGGAAAAGAAUUUUUAUAAAAUUUUAUAUAGACUCGAGUUGAUUGAAACUGACAAAUGACGGAUAAAAGGAUUUGAUGAGUUAUUCUUGACCUACAACUUAUCAGAACUUACAACAGA
RNAcentral lists this long non-coding RNA (477 nucleotides) under Elaeis guineensis (African oil palm). RNAcentral describes it as "long non-coding RNA (EGUI_LNC009033)". Lineage: Eukaryota; Viridiplantae; Streptophyta; Magnoliopsida; Arecales; Arecaceae. The record is from RNAcentral.